Molecule: ribosomal RNA, 220 nt
Filed under: uncultured bacterium
Lineage: Bacteria
Description: partial 16S ribosomal RNA
Rfam family: Bacterial small subunit ribosomal RNA
Source: RNAcentral
AACGUAGGACACAAGCGUUAUCCGGAGUUACUGGGCGUAAAGGGCGUGUAGGCGGAGGUGUAAGUCUAUUCUGAAAGCUCCUGGCUAAACUGGGAGAGGCGAAUGGAGACUGCAUCUCUAGAGUGAGGAAGAGGAAAGUGGAAUUCCGCGUGUAGUGGUGAAAUGCGCAGAUAUCGGGAGGAACACCUAUGGCGAAGGCAGCUCGCUGGGACGUUACUGA